CAACUCUUGAUAAAACAAAAAGGUACAAUGGUCUGUGAGGAAGAGAAAAGGUACCUGAGGAUGCAGAAGUACCUACCACAUGGGAACCGUUUGUCCACACUCAUCCCAGAGAAAACCGAGUCGUCCUCUCAGUUGCACACGUGUAUGUAUCAGCGGGAAGUGCUUGCCAUUACUCCAAAGCCUAGAACCUUCACGUCAUGAAGGUUCUGGAAGGUUUUUCAGAUUGCUUAAGAUACGCAGCCAUUCCAUAUUCAUCUCCAGCUACACAGGGGAAUGGAGCAGAUAGAGCUGCGGCUGGGAAGCGUCACCUCCCCGUCCAGAGCGCUUUCUUUCAGACCCCGCCUUCCUGCGCGCAGAUGGACCGGAGGGUUUUCUGCUUCCUUUCAACCAGAUGACUUCCUAAGCGGAGAUGGCCUGUAGGUAGCAAAUGCAGGAUUUUGUUUACUUUCAUCAUGUCAUGUGAUGGUCAGACUGCUCGCUGGUGACCUCGCUUUAGAAGGUUUUCAUCAAGCCCCGCCCUUUCUCUCUCAUAGUCUUAAUGCAUCUGGACCACUGGGGAAAAUAUUUUUCUUUUCAAAAAGUAGCCCCUUCAGUCUGCGUUCCCAGUUCAUUUUGUAGGGGCAUUCGCCCUUCCUAGUUUGCAGCAAUUAAAGAUAACGGAGUGUAAAGUCAUUAGACCCAGAAUUAGAGCAGCCAGCAGCUGGUCCAGUAUAAAAAUGUCCCAAGUGUAGCCCCUCCCACUGCAGAGCCUGUUUGUAACGUACCUGCCAUUCGUGAAAGUUGCCUGGGUUUUGUAAAGGAGAAUUUUUUUGGACCCAAGCUGUGAUCUUCAAGCACGCCAACUUCAGGCAGCGUUUUCUGCUGCAAACCUCAACAUCCUGGAAUCAAUCACACUGACAGGGAAAGGAUAAAUGCUCCUUUAUAAGCCAACAUUUAUCCAAAUUAAGCCCCCUUACCUUUAUCCAGACCCUUUCACAAGUUCUGAGUUUUUAGCCAAUUGAUCCUCUACUUUCCUUCUUUAGUCCCUCUCAGGGACGCCUCCAUCCCCGGCUCCCCUAAAGGUAGAAGAUACUCGAGCAUGCUGCCUGGGGAGCUGGAUGGUGAAACACCAGAAGAUCUCAUGUCGCAUCUCAAAACACUGUCGGACUUGCUUUCUGCUUUAUGAUGUCCAUAGUUGUUCUAAUAUUAAAUGCUUUGAAUUUA
Molecule: long non-coding RNA, 1203 nt
Filed under: Pongo abelii (Sumatran orangutan)
Lineage: Eukaryota; Metazoa; Chordata; Mammalia; Primates; Hominidae
Description: lncRNA (ENSPPYG00000036480.1)
Source: RNAcentral